GGGCCCAAGAACACCCAAGAUUAGGCAGCAAGCAAAGGACGAGAAACUGGCCACGUGGCAGCAACCAGUAAGAGCCCAAGAAAAGAAGUUCACAGUGUCCAGAAAAACAAGGGCACAAGAGUAUUUCAAAUAGGAGGGAGUAUUUGUGUCAGAGUCGGCCACUGCUAAGGGGUCAAGUCAGAUAAAGCCUCAUGAGCAUCCCUUGGAUUUAGCAACUAGGAGGUGGAAGCACCAGUGGCAGAAUAUUAACUACCAACUCCUGGGCAAGAGGAAGAGCCAUCUGGUUCCCCUGCGCCCGUGAGAGCGAAUGUGAGGAAACAGGCUCCAGGUUCAUCACAUGGUGGUCCCAAGGCCGACUUGUGCAAGCCAGGAUGACAGGAGGACGGCGUGGGAGCACUGCUCAAUCCCGUAGCCCUUCCCUGUGGCUGAAGAUGAUCCACCUUCGCCCUGUCUCCUGAGGUCUCCGUGUUUCUGCCCUUCACGGCCCAAAUAAAGCAGCUUUUGCCUCUCUCUGGCCCUCUCCACUUUGCAGGGUGAUGAUCUCAGUUCCUUCCAUUCGCAUACACUGUUAGACUGAACCCAAAGGCUGGGAGGGCAUCUGCUGCCACCCCUGACCCUUCCACUGCCCCCAUCUCCCCCGUGAACCCCCCAGUGGGAUAGCCUAGAUGACCCAGACCUGGCUCCUGCUCUCUAGACUCUCGCUGUGCCAUAGAAAGAGAAAGGCAGAGACAUACACUAGCUCAGUAAAGUGCCACAGGAGAGUGAUAUUGUUUGGGGCACAGUGAGUCCUCUGGUGAGUGAGGAAAGCCUUCAGGAAGGGUCUUGAGCUGAAUCUGGACAAGUGGGCAGGCACUGGGUAGGCAUAAGUAGCGCUCCAGGCAGAUUUGGCAGCACAGAGAAAGGUUUGGUCAUUUGCAGGCUGAACUCCUCAUCCCACUGAGGGAACUGUGAGACUGGCGGCCAAAUGGGCUCUGCUUAAAAUGAGGCUAGCUGGGCUGGAGCUUCAAAGACCUGGAAGGCUAGAAUAGGGGGCUGGACAUUCUCCGGGAGGAAGUAGGGAACCAAGGACAAGUU
RNAcentral lists this long non-coding RNA (1074 nucleotides) under Equus asinus (donkey). RNAcentral describes it as "lncRNA (ENSEASG00005036872.1)". The record is from RNAcentral. Lineage: Eukaryota; Metazoa; Chordata; Mammalia; Perissodactyla; Equidae.